This 116-nucleotide small nuclear RNA is filed under the name Sorex araneus (European shrew). RNAcentral describes it as "U1 spliceosomal RNA (ENSSARG00000019589.1)". It matches the Rfam family "U1 spliceosomal RNA", at positions 1 to 120 of the family's 166-position model. Rfam says of the family: U1 is a small nuclear RNA (snRNA) component of the spliceosome (involved in pre-mRNA splicing). Its 5' end forms complementary base pairs with the 5' splice junction, thus defining the 5' donor site of an intron. Lineage: Eukaryota; Metazoa; Chordata; Mammalia; Eulipotyphla; Soricidae. The record is from RNAcentral.
UUACUUACCUGGCAGGGGAGACUCCAUGAUCACGUACGUGGUUUUCCCAGGGUGAGGUUCAUAUUGCACUUAGAAACCUUAAAUGAAAAAAAUAAAAAUUUAAGUAGAAAAUUUUC